Formica exsecta is the source of this 1523-nucleotide long non-coding RNA. RefSeq lists it as uncharacterized. The transcript has 4 exons. The record is from RefSeq and is a predicted model, not a curated record. Lineage: Eukaryota; Metazoa; Arthropoda; Insecta; Hymenoptera; Formicidae.
GUCCAUACCAAUAAUUUCCUCAAAGAGACUGUUCCUUCCUUCCAUCUGUUCUUCGAUUAUUUGCCCGGCAUAUUUCAAUGUCGCGGCAGCCAGAUCGCCCACCGACCAACGUCUGUCCAUCAAAACUCUGCUUACGACUGGGAUUGCCAGAAGUAUAAUAGAUUAAUCUUGGUGCUCCUGCCAGGGAAGAGGCGAGCCAUUGAAUUACGAGUUUUAAUUGCGGAUCGCCCUUCAACCUAGUCCCGCAUCCCCAGUUGCCUGUAGCUAUGGGCAAUAAAUCCCCUCCUUGAGGACUGUUCUCCUGCGUCUCCUGCGUGAUAUCGCCAUCGAGCACACCGCCGCCGAUCUUAGCGUUUGCAAAACAAACUUGCAGCACUUUGGAUUCCAUCUCAACUCUCUCCAACCGACCCUCGUGACGUAUCGUCAGCGGACAUAAAGAUUGAAAGCAAACGGAAAAUUUCUUUGAGAAUUUAAUCUCGAAAAUCACUCACUUGUAAAGAUGUCUGAAGAAGUUUGUAAAAUUGAAAUCGCGCAAUGUGGGAUGUGUCUUUGUGGUUCUUUUCGGAUACGUCGAGAAGAACGCGUUUGCGAUUAAGGAGGAGACGAAGGCGUAACUGUAUUCGACACUAUCACCUGUGUAAGAUAAGUAACCCUUAUUUGAAACUUAUCUCUUCUCUCGCGUGAAUGCGCUAUCUUUAUUUUAAAUAGUGUGAAGGGCAUGUGUAUAAUGAAAAAGAUAUAUAUUUUAUAAUAUAUGAAAUUGCGAUUUUCGGGAUAUCUGGGAGAAUGUCGAAUCUCGUGAUAGCGAUACCUUGCUGCUGCAGACUAAAGUGUAAGCCUUGCGGAGGUUUAGUAUAUUUUAAAUCCUUAGCUCUUUCCACCAUUCGCGGUAUUGUCUUCGUGAACACCUGCUCCCUUUCCACAGGAUCGAGAUCUUUAUUUAAGAAAGUCCCCAACAUGGAAAAUAAAUCUGCGUCCUGCAUGUCUUCUUCGGGAUCGAGACUUAUACUGAAAAUAAUACAAAUAUAUAACAAUUGCAACCUACUUGUAAAUUAUUUAAUCUAGAUUAUAUAUAUAUUUAAUGUAAAGAUAAGCGCAUAUAUCUUAGAAAAUAACGAUUGAAAACACAAGUCAUACUUGCACAUAUCAUGCAAUCGUUGCAUCGCAUCUAUUAGGUCCUCGGAAUUUUUUGCCAGGGCGGCUUUAUCUAGUUGUUUCACCACAGCCGGCCACCAAGGCAGAUCACAUGGUAACAUUACUAGAGCCAUUGUGGAUCUGCGAAACGCAUAAAAGUACUCAAAAUGUGCAACUUAAAUAGUGAUCAUAAUAAUUGUUAGCAAUUUUUCGUUUCACAAGGUUUCACAAGGUAGAAACUAAUAUUACAAUUUAUGAUGCAUUAACUCGAGCGAAUCUGUACUUUGAAAGCGCAGUAAUCGAUUUGAAUUUAUAGUUGGCGUGAUAUGUCAAAGCUAUGCGCGUGAUGGACUUACAAAAGUAGCGCGAUCGUAAAAUAUAAAGUCGAA